CCUACGGUGUGCAGCAGUGAGGAAUAUUGGUCAAUGGACGAGAGUCUGAACCAGCCAAGUAGCGUGAAGGAUGACUGCCCUAUGGGUUGUACACUUCUUUUAUAUGGGAAUAAAAUGUUCCACGUGUGGGAUUUUGUAUGUACCAUAUGAAUAAGGAUCGGCUCACUCCGUGCCAGCAGCCGCGGUCAUACGGAGGAGCCGAGCGUUAUCCGGAUUUAUUGGGUUUAAAGGGAGCGUAGGUGGAUUGGUAAGUCAGUUGUGAAAGUUUUCGGCUCAACCGGAAAAUUGCAGUUGAAACUGGCAGGCUUGAGUACAGUAGAGGUGGGCGGAAUUCGUGGUGUAGCGGUGAAAUGCUUAGAUAUCACGAAGAACUCCGGUUGCGAAGGCAGCUCACUGGACUGCAACUGACACUGAGGCUCGAAAGUGUGGGUAUCAAACAGGAUUAGAUACCCGGGUAGUC
RNAcentral lists this ribosomal RNA (460 nucleotides) under uncultured bacterium. RNAcentral describes it as "partial 16S ribosomal RNA". It matches the Rfam family "Bacterial small subunit ribosomal RNA", at positions 338 to 795 of the family's 1533-position model. The record is from RNAcentral.